Ictidomys tridecemlineatus (thirteen-lined ground squirrel) is the source of this 70-nucleotide non-coding RNA. The record is from Rfam. NCBI's taxonomy places the organism in Eukaryota, Metazoa, Chordata, Mammalia, Rodentia, Sciuridae.
UGUUGUGGCUCAGUGGUAGAGCACUCACCUGGCACGUGUGGGGCACUGGGUUUGAUCCUUAGCACAACAU